AGUGAACGCUGGCGGUAGGCCUAACACAUGCAAGUCGAACGGCAGCACAGUAAGAGCUUGCUCUUACGGGUGGCGAGUGGCGGACGGGUGAGGAAUACAUCGGAAUCUACUUUUUCGUGGGGGAUAACGUAGGGAAACUUACGCUAGUACCGCAUACGACCUACGGGUGAAAGCAGGGGAUCUUCGGACCUUGCGCGAGUGAAUGAGCCGAUGUCGGAUUAGCUAGUUGGCGGGGUAAAGGCCCACCAAGGCGACGAUCCGUAGCUGGUCUGAGAGGAUGAUCAGCCACACUGGAACUGAGACACGGUCCAGACUCCUACGGGAGGCAGCAGUGGGGAAUAUUGGACAAUGGGCGCAAGCCUGAUCCAGCCAUACCGCGUGGGUGAAGAAGGCCUUCGGGUUGUAAAGCCCUUUUGUUGGGAAAGAAAAGCAGCAGGUUAAUACCCCGCUGUUCUGACGGUACCCAAAGAAUAAGCACCGGCUAACUUCGUG
RNAcentral lists this ribosomal RNA (492 nucleotides) under uncultured bacterium. Its description in RNAcentral is "partial 16S ribosomal RNA". It matches the Rfam family "Bacterial small subunit ribosomal RNA", at positions 29 to 507 of the family's 1533-position model. The record is from RNAcentral.